CGCGUAGGCGGCCUGCUAAGUUGGUUGUGAAAUCCCCCGGCUCAACCGGGGAACUGCGACUAAUACUGGUGGGCUUGAGUGCAGGAGGGGAGAGCGGAAUUCCCAGUGUAGCGGUGAAAUGCGUAGAUAUUGGGAGGAACACCUGUGGCGAAGGCGGCUCUCUGGACUGCAACUGACGCUGAUGCGCGAAAGCUAGGGGAGCAAACAGGAUUAGAUACCCUGGUAGUCC
RNAcentral lists this ribosomal RNA (229 nucleotides) under uncultured bacterium. RNAcentral describes it as "partial 16S ribosomal RNA". It matches the Rfam family "Bacterial small subunit ribosomal RNA", at positions 568 to 796 of the family's 1533-position model. The record is from RNAcentral.